RNAcentral lists this ribosomal RNA (552 nucleotides) under Triticum aestivum (bread wheat). RNAcentral describes it as "partial small subunit ribosomal RNA". Lineage: Eukaryota; Viridiplantae; Streptophyta; Magnoliopsida; Poales; Poaceae. The record is from RNAcentral.
AUGCGAUGCAUUAUGCAUACGGCGCGUCAGUGUCACUCUGAACUGUGCCGUUCUGAAACUGGAGCUACCGCUCAAAGCAUGGAGUCAUUGCAGCUCCACCAGCUCCUCCUCACUCUCCUGGCCAUUGUCGUCCCUCUCCUAUGCCUCAACCGCGCGGUGCGCCGGCACCGCGAGGGUGCCCGCUUGCUGCCACCGUCUCCGUGGUCACUCCCGGUCAUCGGCCACCUCCACCACCUCGUGAGUGAUCUGCCGCACCGCGCCAUGCGCGACCUGGCGCGACGCCACGGCCCGCUCCUGCUGCUCCGCCUCGGCGGCCUCCCCGUCGUGGUCGCCUCCUCCGCGGACGCCGCGCGCGAGGUCAUGGUGGCGCGCGACGUCGACUUUGCUUGCAGGAGGAGGAGGAGGAGGAGGAGGAGGAGGAGGAGGAGGAGGAGAUCUGAAGCUUUGGAAAAUUUGAAGAUCUAUAAAGCUGAGAUUGAAAAUCAGCUCAACCAAAAGAUCAAAGUAGUACAGUUUUAUCACGGGCAGAAUAUUAGGCAUGCUCCUUACUAG